Long non-coding RNA from Poeciliopsis prolifica (blackstripe livebearer), 546 nucleotides. RefSeq lists it as uncharacterized. The transcript is spliced from 4 exons. Lineage: Eukaryota; Metazoa; Chordata; Actinopteri; Cyprinodontiformes; Poeciliidae. The record is from RefSeq and is a predicted model, not a curated record.
AAUUCCCGUUUGGGCUUCUACAACCAGGCUGUCUCAAUGUGAACGUCAAGACACGGAGGGGGAAACGGAGAACUUCCGUGUUCCUCAGCCCAGUACCGAGAUGGUCACCAACCCCAGCAAGCAGGAUGCCGAACAUUGGGAUUCCCACGAGGGCGAAACAGAUGCAAAAGAGCUUCCCUCCAUCUGACUUAGGGGAGAUGUUUCCGUAGCCUGUACAUGUCAUGACAGAGGAAUCUACAUCACACUUUAAUCCAAUGCCUGGAGAAAGCUUCCAGACACAGAAAGGAAUCAGAAUGAGGAAGGAAGGAGCGCUCUGCACGGAAUGACGGCGUCGCUGUAUCCUACGUGCACAAAGGAGCGAAAUCACAGCUCCUUCCUUCCAGCUGCUCAAACUUUGGCCAUCGUUCUUCCCAGAAAAAUGGAGCUGCAGAGCAUUUUAUUAUUAUUCUGUAUUUUUGUGUGAACCUCCACGCUUCAACUUGCCUGUCGCUUUAAACCUGCAUUUUUCCACUGAGGGACAAUUAAACAUUUCUACUCAAAUUUCAA